RNAcentral lists this ribosomal RNA (287 nucleotides) under uncultured bacterium. RNAcentral describes it as "partial 16S ribosomal RNA". It matches the Rfam family "Bacterial small subunit ribosomal RNA", at positions 773 to 1060 of the family's 1533-position model. The record is from RNAcentral.
GUGGAUUAGAUACCCUGGUAGUCCACACCCUAAACGAUGAGUACUAGACGUUGGGCCUUUUAAGGUUCAGUGUCUGAGCUAACGCAUUAAGUACUCCACCUGGGAAGUACGAUCGCAAGGUUGAAACUCAAAGGAAUUGACGGGGGCCCGCACAAGCAGUGGAGCAUGUGGUUUAAUUCGAUGCAACGCGAAGAACCUUACCUAGGCUUGAAAUGCAAGUUAAUCCUGAUGAAAGUCGGGGUGCCGCAAGGCGAACUUGUACAGGUGCUGCACGGCCGUCGACAGCU